ACUCUGGUCAAUGGCCUUUGU
RNAcentral lists this non-coding RNA (21 nucleotides) under Arabidopsis thaliana (thale cress). The record is from RNAcentral. Lineage: Eukaryota; Viridiplantae; Streptophyta; Magnoliopsida; Brassicales; Brassicaceae.